Molecule: long non-coding RNA, 1248 nt
Organism: Arabidopsis lyrata subsp. lyrata
Lineage: Eukaryota; Viridiplantae; Streptophyta; Magnoliopsida; Brassicales; Brassicaceae
Exons: 4
Source: RefSeq, a predicted model, not a curated record
UCCGAAUCGAUAGCUAGUGAAUUAGGGCUUUCUCUCAAUUGUUGAAGCUGCCUCUUCUUCUUCACUGUGGCUCGGCGUCGCCACCAUCUGAAGACCCCUAUUCAUGGCUUUCGGGAAAUUCUCUUUGUGCAUCUCUAUCAUCCCCGCUUACAUUUCCAGAUUCUGUAUCGAAAUCUCUCAUUCAUUCAACUUUAUCUCUUAUUGUUGCUUAGUUUUAACCAGUUUGACUUGGGAUUUUGAUUAUGUAGUUUUUCUGUAGAUGAGCUCAUUGUGCACUCUAGAUGUUCGAUAAAAUGUCUAGGUGAGACUCAAACUGGAAAAAUUGCAUUAAGCCGGUCUGUUUUUUUAUUGGUGUUGUAGGGUAACGAUAUGUAGUAGGAGGUAAGAACAAGAAGAAAAAAAGACUGCUCCUGAGUCCGAUAAUCUCUAUCUCAAGCUUCUCGUAAAAAAAAAAAACAAAACCAGGAAAGUCGCUAACUGAGAAACAAGCAAAGGAACUGCGAGAGAUGAAAGGAGGCAUCAACAUCUUGCAGAAUCUUAACAAUAGAGAGAGACAAAUCAUGGAUAUUGAAGCAUCCUUUGAGGCAUGCAAGUCUCAACCAAUUCAUUCCACCAAUAAAAACGUGCAGCCGGUUGAAGUUUUACCACUGUUGGCAUAUUUUGAUAGCUUGUAUAAGGGUCUUGCUCCACGUUGGCUGUGAAGUUGAUGAUCUUCAGGUUUGGCUACACAUUGUCUAUUUGAAUUUUAGUGCUUUGUUUGGUUAAUUUCUCCGUUUGAUAUUAUGGAUUUUUUGUGGAUGACUUGAUGGUUGGCAAAAUAAAGAACAAGGAAGGAUAAUUCAGGUGCUUUUGAUAUUUCUAACAUCUUAAUUAGUUUUACAUUUUGAUAAAAACAUAGGUUGUCUUUUGUAGUUAUGUAUUCUCUUUGUGAUAUGCAGAGACUAGUUUAUAAGACAAGUGGAAAUAAUGUUAAUACUUUGCUGCUCCAAAUACCUUUGCUUUAAUGUUAUUACAGAUAGCUGAGCAGAAUAUACAAGAACAUGUUGAGGACGAAUGCUCGCGAAAGAGGUAGUCUUUUAAGAAUAUAAAUACCUUGCUCUUUUCUUUUCUUUAUUCUGAUGAUUUUAAAACUGUUGUGUUUUCUAUGGUGUGGUGUGUCUACUUUAGGUAGAACUAUUUGCAACUAAUGAUUUCACCAUGUUUUGUGAUCUCGUUAUUUGGUUUAUAUACAUAGAUUAGUUUAGCAUC